RNAcentral lists this ribosomal RNA (484 nucleotides) under uncultured bacterium. Its description in RNAcentral is "partial 16S ribosomal RNA". It matches the Rfam family "Bacterial small subunit ribosomal RNA", at positions 28 to 507 of the family's 1533-position model. The record is from RNAcentral.
AUUGAACGCUGGCGGCAUGCUUUACACAUGCAAGUCGAACGGCAGCGCGGGCUUCGGCCUGGCGGCGAGUGGCGAACGGGUGAGUAAUGCAUUGGAACGUGCCCAGUAGUGGGGGAUAGCCCGGCGAAAGCCGGAUUAAUACCGCAUACGACCUGAGGGUGAAAGCGGGGGACCGAAAGGCCUCGCGCUAUUGGAGCGGCCGAUGUCGGAUUAGCUAGUUGGUGGGGUAAAGGCUUACCAAGGCGACGAUCCGUAGCUGGUCUGAGAGGACGACCAGCCACACUGGGAGUGAGACGCGGCCGAGACUCCUGGGGGAGGGAGCAGGGGGGAAUGUGGGAAAAGGGGGGCAACCCUGACCCAGCCAGGCCGCGGGCGGGAAGAGGCCCUGCGGUUUGUAACGGGCUUUUGUGGGGGAAAAAAUCCUCUGGGCUAAUACCCGGGGGGGAGGACGGUACGGAAAAAAAAAGCCCCGGCUAACUACGGG